AUUGAACGCUGGCGGCAGGCCUAACACAUGCAAGUCGAGCGGAGCGGCGGACGGGUGAGUAAUGCCUAGGAAUCUGCCUUGUAGUGGGGGAUAACGUCCGGAAACGGGCGCUAAUACCGCAUACUCUCAGCUGAGCCUAGGUCGGAUUAGCUAGGUGGUGGGGUAAAGGCCUACCAAGCCGACGAUCCGUAACUGGUCUGGGAGGAUGAUCAGUCACACUGGAACGGAGACACGGUCCAGACUCCUACGGGAGGCAGCAGUGGGGAAUAUUGGACAAUGGGCGAAAGCCUGAUCCAGCCAUGCCGCGUGUGUGAAGAAGGGCUUCGGAGUGUAAAGCACUUUAAGCUGGGAGGCGUUACCAACAGAAUAAGCACCGGCUAACUUCGUGCCAGCAGCCGCGGUAAUAC
RNAcentral lists this ribosomal RNA (407 nucleotides) under uncultured bacterium. RNAcentral's name for it is "partial 16S ribosomal RNA". It matches the Rfam family "Bacterial small subunit ribosomal RNA", at positions 30 to 526 of the family's 1533-position model. The record is from RNAcentral.